AGACAGUGGUGCCUAUGUCGUAAAUUUGGCGGAGGGAUGCGUUCUGAGUGCUCUGUUUUGUGUCGGCUCACGCGUUUUUUCUUGGGCGCUGCGCCUUUAAGAAGUCUGUUGAGUUCAUCGAUGACGGCAUCCUUUUAUUUUUAUCGCAGUGACCUCAUCGUUUAUGGCAGCAGGACUUCAGCGACAACUUUAGUGCGACUACUUUCUGUUUAAAACUUCUUGAAGUAGAAACAGAAGCCAACUCUGUUUUUUUAUCGUGUCGCACUCCGUGUUUAAACCGUGUCGGACGGUUAGCGCGGAGCUGGGACUUUUAACGUCGAAGUUUCAAAGGGAUGAAUACUGAUAAAGCAUGAAGAACAAGGUGCCGGCGGGGUGACGUCCUCGGCGCUCAACUCAGUCUGGACCAGAAGACCUCUUUUGUCUCAGGCCUUCUGUGGUGUGAAUAACCCCCCCCC
This is a long non-coding RNA of Thalassophryne amazonica, 455 nucleotides long. RefSeq lists it as uncharacterized. The record is from RefSeq and is a predicted model, not a curated record. The transcript is spliced from 2 exons. NCBI's taxonomy places the organism in Eukaryota, Metazoa, Chordata, Actinopteri, Batrachoidiformes, Batrachoididae.